UCGCGUUUUCGGAGCGGCCGAUAUCGGAUUAGCUAGUAGGUGAGGUAAAGGCUCACCUAGGCGACGAUCCGUAGCUGGUCUGAGAGGACGACCAGCCACACUGGAACUGAGACACGGUCCAGACUCCUACGGGAGGCAGCAGUGGGGAAUUUUGGACAAUGGGCGAAAGCCUGAUCCAGCCAUGCCGCGUGAGUGAAGAAGGCCUUCGGGUUGUAAAGCUCUUUCAGCCGGGAAGAAAACGCAUGGGUUAAUAACCUGUGUGGAUGACGGUACCGGAAGAAGAAGCACCGGCUAACUACGUGCCAGCAGCCGCGGUAAUACGUAGGGUGCGAGCGUUAAUCGGAAUUACUGGGCGUAAAGCGUGCGCAGGCGGUUUUGUAAGACAGAUGUGAAAUCCCCGGGCUUAACCAGGGAACUGCAUUUGUGACUGCAAGGCUAGAGUACGGCAGAGGGGGGUAGAAUUCCGCGUGUAGCAGUGAAAUGCGUAGAUAUGUGGAGGAAUACCGAUGGCGAAGGCAGCCCCCUGGGUCGAUACUGACGCUCAUGCACGAAAGCGUGGGGAGCAAACAGGAUUAGAUACCCUGGUAGUCCACGCCCUAAACGAUGUCAACUAGGUGUUGGGGGAGGAGACUUCCUUA
Molecule: ribosomal RNA, 638 nt
Filed under: uncultured bacterium
Lineage: Bacteria
Description: bacterial SSU rRNA
Rfam family: Bacterial small subunit ribosomal RNA
Source: RNAcentral